Molecule: long non-coding RNA, 649 nt
Filed under: Zonotrichia albicollis (white-throated sparrow)
Lineage: Eukaryota; Metazoa; Chordata; Aves; Passeriformes; Passerellidae
Description: lncRNA (ENSZALG00000000793.1)
Source: RNAcentral
AGGCAGGGUUCUGGGUGAUCUCCCCAGCUCCUUUGUGGCCCUCUUGCUCCAGAAGGUCAAGCAGAGGCACUGCCUGGCCCUCAGCCCCUGUCUGUUCCCAGGAUUCCGUUUCAGAGAAGGUCUGUGGACAGCGCUGCACAUGCGAGGGAUGCUGCUGAUGAUUUGUGAAAUGCUGGAGUUCUGAUACUGUGUGAUGUUAGCAAUAAAAAUCAAUCUGCAAAAUGCAUCAAAUUAGUCUAGAAGACAUUGAACGCAGUACAUUUAUUGCCUGGAGAAAUGAGAAAUCUGUCAUCUCUUAGGUACUGUAGAGGCCCUAAUUUUUUUUGAACAUUUGCUGAUAGCAUCAGGAUCUGCAGUGGCUGAACAACUGGAAAGCGUUCAUGGUACGGAGAAAGGUAGGAAGGAGAACAUUUGCAGAUCUUUUCUGUGGAAACAGAGAAAUGAUUUCUUGAAUCUGUGUGUACUUUUUUGUUCUGAAAGACACGAGACAAAUAUCCAGGUCUCCUGGAAUAUGUAUGGACUAUGGCAUGACUUGCUGGAUAAAUCAUCUUCCACUGAUACAACUGGAAAUCUCAGUCUGCCCAUCAGCAAUUAUACCAUAACACAAGCUGCAGUGACCUGGGUACCAAGCACAAGUGGGAUACUGUAG